Molecule: ribosomal RNA, 462 nt
Filed under: uncultured bacterium
Lineage: Bacteria
Description: bacterial SSU rRNA
Rfam family: Bacterial small subunit ribosomal RNA
Source: RNAcentral
AGUGAACGCUGGCGGUAGGCCUAACACAUGCAAGUCGAACGGCAGCACAGUAGGAGCUUGACUCCUUGGGUGGCGAGUGGCGGACGGGUGAGGAAUACAUCGGAAUCUACUCUGUCGUGGGGGAUAACGUAGGGAACUUACGCUAAUACCGCAUACGACCUACGGGUGAAAGCAGGGGAUCUUCGGACCUUGCGCGAUUGAAUGAGCCGAUGUCGGAUUAGCUAGUUGGCGGGGUAAAGGCCCACCAAGGCGACGGAUCCGUAGCUGGUCUGAGAGGAUGGAUCAGCCACAUACGGGACUGAGACACGGUCCAGACUCCUACGGGAGGCAGCAGUGGGGAAUAUUGGACAAUGGGCGAAAGCCUGAUCCAGCCAUGCCGCGUGUGUGAAGAAGGUCUUCGGAUUGUAAAGCACUUUAAGUUGGGUAGGAAGGGCAGUAAGUUAAUACCUUGCUGUUUUGACG